Molecule: transfer RNA, 61 nt
Filed under: Myotis brandtii (Brandt's bat)
Lineage: Eukaryota; Metazoa; Chordata; Mammalia; Chiroptera; Vespertilionidae
Rfam family: tRNA
About the family: Transfer RNA (tRNA) molecules are approximately 80 nucleotides in length. Their secondary structure includes four short double-helical elements and three loops (D, anti-codon, and T loops).
Source: Rfam by way of RNAcentral
GCCGGUGUGGCUCAGUGGUUAGAGCGCCGGUGGUCGUGGGUUCGAUUCCCAGCCAGGGACA